GCCCCGGUGGCUCAUCGGUCUAAAGGCUGUGUCCUUCCCGCAGCGACCCGGGUUCGAUUCCGGCUCGGGUCA
Molecule: non-coding RNA, 72 nt
Organism: Gymnothorax javanicus (giant moray)
Lineage: Eukaryota; Metazoa; Chordata; Actinopteri; Anguilliformes; Muraenidae
Source: the annotation of a GenBank genome assembly